Molecule: ribosomal RNA, 253 nt
Filed under: uncultured bacterium
Lineage: Bacteria
Description: partial 16S ribosomal RNA
Rfam family: Bacterial small subunit ribosomal RNA
Source: RNAcentral
UACGUAGGUGGCAAGCGUUGUCCGGAAUUAUUGGGCGUAAAGCGCGCGCAGGUGGUUUCUUAAGUCUGAUGUGAAAGCCCACGGCUCAACCGUGGAGGGUCAUUGGAAACUGGGGAACUUGAGUGCAGAAGAGGAAAGUGGAAUUCCAAGUGUAGCGGUGAAAUGCGUAGAGAUUUGGAGGAACACCAGUGGCGAAGGCGACUUUCUGGUCUGUAACUGACACUGAGGAGCGAAAGCGUGGGGAGCGAACAGG